GAUGAAGAACGUAGCGAAAUGCGAUAAGUAAUGUGAAUUGCAGAAUUCAGUGAAUCAUCGAAUCUUUGAACGCACCUUGCGCCCUUUGGCCAUUCCGAAGGGCAUGCCUGUUUGAGUACCAUGAACACCUCAACUCUUUAUGGUUUUCCAUGAUGAGCUUGGACUCUGGGGGUUUUGCUGGCUCACAGUCGGCUCCUCUAAAAUGAAUCAGCUUACCAGUGUUUGGUGGGUAUCAUGGGUGUGAUAACUAUCUACGCUUGUGGUUUUUCCACCAGGUAACCUUCAGCAGUGGAGGUUCGCUGGAGCCCAUAGAUGUCUCUCCUCAGUGAGGACAGCCCUUUGAAUGUUUGAUCUCAAAUCAGGUAGGACUACCCGCUGAACUUAAGCAUAUCAAUAAGCGGAGGA
Molecule: unclassified non-coding RNA, 405 nt
Filed under: soil metagenome
Description: partial contains 5.8S ribosomal RNA, internal transcribed spacer 2, and large subunit ribosomal RNA
Rfam family: 5.8S ribosomal RNA (bases 1-121)
Source: RNAcentral